CCUACGGGAGGCAGCAGUGGGGAAUUUUGGACAAUGGGCGCAAGCCUGAUCCAGCAAUGCCGCGUGAGUGAAGAAGGCCUUCGGGUUGUAAAGCUCUUUUGUCAGGGAAGAAACGGCUGAGGAUAAUACCUUUGGCUAAUGACGGUACCUGAAGAAUAAGCACCGGCUAACUACGUGCCAGCAGCCGCGGUAAUACGUAGGGUGCAAGCGUUAAUCGGAAUUACUGGGCGUAAAGCGUGCGCAGGCGGUUUUGUAAGUCUGUCGUGAAAUCCCCGGGCUCAACCUGGGAAUUGCG
Molecule: ribosomal RNA, 295 nt
Filed under: uncultured bacterium
Lineage: Bacteria
Description: partial 16S ribosomal RNA
Rfam family: Bacterial small subunit ribosomal RNA
Source: RNAcentral